CGGGACACGUGGUAUCCUGUCUGAAUAUGGGGGGACCAUCCUCCAAGGCUAAAUACUCCUGACUGACCGAUAGUGAACCAGUACCGUGAGGGAAAGGCGAAAAGAACCCCGGCGAGGGGAGUGAAAAAGAACCUGAAACCGUGUACGUACAAGCAGUGGGAGCCUCUUUAUGGGGUGACUGCGUACCUUUUGUAUAAUGGGUCAGCGACUUAUAUUCUGUAGCAAGGUUAACCGAAUAGGGGAGCCGAAGGGAAACCGAGUCUUAACUGGGCGUUAAGUUGCAGGGUAUAGACCCGAAACCCGGUGAUCUAGCCAUGGGCAGGUUGAAGGUUGGGUAACACUAACUGGAGGACCGAACCGACUAAUGUUGAAAAAUUAGCGGAUGACUUGUGGCUGGGGGUGAAAGGCCAAUCAAACCGGGAGAUAGCUGGUUCUCCCCGAAAGCUAUUUAGGUAGCGCCUCGUGAACUCAUCUCCGGGGGUAGAGCACUGUUUCGGCAAGGGGGUCAUCCCGACUUACCAACCCGAUGCAAACUGCGAAUACCGGAGAAUGUUAUCACGGGAGACACACGGCGGGUGCUAACGUCCGUCGUGAAGAGGGAAACAACCCAGACCGCCAGCUAAGGUCCCAAAGUCAUGGUUAAGUGGGAAACGAUGUGGGAAGGCCCAGACAGCCAGGAUGUUGGCUUAGAAGCAGCCAUCAUUUAAAGAAAGCGUAAUAGCUCACUGGUCGAGUCGGCCUGCGCGGAAGAUGUAACGGGGCUAAACCAUG
Molecule: ribosomal RNA, 771 nt
Filed under: Escherichia coli
Lineage: Bacteria; Pseudomonadati; Pseudomonadota; Gammaproteobacteria; Enterobacterales; Enterobacteriaceae
Description: partial 23S ribosomal RNA
Rfam family: Bacterial large subunit ribosomal RNA
Source: RNAcentral